UGGGGGAUAUUGCACAAUGGGGGAAACCCUGAUGCAGCGACGCCGCGUGAGGGAAGACGGUUUUCGGAUUGUAAACCUCUGUCCCGGGGGACGAUAAUGACGGUACCCCGGGAGGAAGCCACGGCUAACUACGUGCCAGCAGCCGCGGUAAUACGUAGGUGGCAAGCGUUGUCCGGAAUUACUGGGUGUAAAGGGAGCGCAGGCGGGAAUAUAAGUCAAGUGUUAAAUUUAUCGGCUCAACCGAUAAACGCGCUUGAAACUAUAUUUCUUGAGUGAAGUAGAGGUAGGCGGAAUUCCUAGUGUAGCGGUGAAAUGCGUAGAUAUUAGGAGGAACACCAGUGGCGAAGGCGGCCUACUGGGCUUUAACUGACGCUGAGGCUCGAAAGUGUGGGGAGCAAACA
Molecule: ribosomal RNA, 401 nt
Rfam family: Bacterial small subunit ribosomal RNA